AGUGAACGCUGGCGGUAGGCCUAACACAUGCAAGUCGAACGGCAGCACAGUAAGAUCUCGCUCUUACGGGUGGCGAGUGGCGGACGGGUGAGGAGUACAUCGGAAUCUACUUUUUCGUGGGGGAUAACGUAGGGAAACUGACGCUAAUACCGCAUACGACCUACGGGUGAAAGCAGGGGAUCUUCGGACCUUGCGCGAUUGAAUGAGCCGAUGUCGGAUUAGCUAGUUGGCGGGGUAAAGGCCCACCAAGGCGACGAUCCGUAGCUGGUCUGAGAGGAUGAUCAGCCACACUGGAACUGAGACACGGUCCAGACUCCUACGGGAGGCAGCAGUGGGGAAUAUUGGACAAUGGGCGCAAGCCUGAUCCAGCCAUACCGCGUGGGUGAAGAAGGCCUUCGGGUUGUAAAGCCCUUUUGUUGGGAAAGAAAAGCAGCAGGUUAAUACCCCGCUGUUCUGACGGUACCCAAAGAAUAAGCACCGGCUAACUUCGUG
RNAcentral lists this ribosomal RNA (492 nucleotides) under uncultured bacterium. RNAcentral's name for it is "partial 16S ribosomal RNA". It matches the Rfam family "Bacterial small subunit ribosomal RNA", at positions 29 to 507 of the family's 1533-position model. The record is from RNAcentral.